Molecule: long non-coding RNA, 606 nt
Filed under: Sinocyclocheilus grahami
Lineage: Eukaryota; Metazoa; Chordata; Actinopteri; Cypriniformes; Cyprinidae
Description: lncRNA (ENSSGRG00000052418.1)
Source: RNAcentral
UGCUUACGCGCGCGUGCGCUCGGCAGUGUCGGCACGCGGCAAUUGGUCGAGCGUGUUGUAAUUUAUUAGAACCUCGCGCUCUUAUGGCUCUGCCUCCAGCCUUCGCUAGUAAUAUCUGGUCGAAGACCGAGAUGGUGUUCGGAUGAAUAAAAUCUGAGGUGAAACUGUUUAGUUUUUCGUCGCGUUUUGAUUUUUUCAACUUAAAUAUUAAUUGAUAAAUAAAUGUAGUGAGACGAAAUGUCAUCUGGAUACUGAUCGUUGGAAAACUCCCAUAGAUCAACUGGAAAUGGCCACCAUCGUGGAAAACCUGUCAGAUGGAGGCUCGAAGAAGGACAGAAUUCGACUGGCCAAAGAAAGAAGAGAGGAGAAAGAUAAGAGCCAAGCUGUGCGGGAGCGAGCUCUCUUGGAGAAGGAGCAGCGUGCACAGCUGCAGUAUGAACGCUCGCUGGUGGAGCGAGGGAGGCGUCUGGAGGAGCAGCGGCAAAAGGAGAUGCUCCGUCGUUCCGCCGUGGAGGAGAAAAGGAAGCAGUGCAUGGAGGAGGAAAAGGUCAGGGGUUACAGCCAAACUUUAUUCUCUUUGGGGUAUGCACUCAAAGGACAGAUAUG